Molecule: long non-coding RNA, 8579 nt
Filed under: Brassica napus (rape)
Lineage: Eukaryota; Viridiplantae; Streptophyta; Magnoliopsida; Brassicales; Brassicaceae
Description: long non-coding RNA (BNAP_LNC019291)
Source: RNAcentral
AGGAAGAUGAGGAAGUGACUGGUUGUUCCAUGGAGAUCGAUGAGAAUCUGAUCAGUCCGACGUCGUUUGAUGAGUUAUUAACGUGUGACUUCACUCCUACCUAUACAACUGGCUUCGUGGAUGCUUUUGAUGACCACUCAUUAGUCGAGCCGUACGAUCUAUACCAAUCUGAUUUCUAUCAUGAGACUAGUGAUGAUCAACUUGACCUGUUCCUCCUCUGAAAUUCACUCUCUUGGACACGUUUUUUCUUGAUGUAUUUCUUUUUUUUUGUUCUGUAUCCGUUAGUUCAGUGUGACGGAAGAGAGUUUCUGAAAAAGGCAAGUAUUCAUCAGUACUCUGAGUGACAUGUAUGGUCAAUGUUUCUGAGUUUUUUAAAGUCGAUUACCUCUCUCUCUUAGGCAUGCUUAUCGUGAGCCCUACAUCUACAUGCACAUUUGGAGUUUCAUGCAUGACAUUCCAAUGAAAACUAGCCCAUCGAAUUCUAUAUUGUUAUAGGAGAAAUUCUUGGGUUCUAGAUUCACCAACCAAUAGUGUUUGAGUAAUUGAUAUUUGAUAUCUUUUAAAAAAGUAAACAAAAUUGAAUUUCCAAAUAAGACUAUAUUUUUAAAAUAAAACAAUAAAAAUACAUAAAAAUAGUUAAAAAAAAAAAUAAAUAUUGUUAAACCGUUAGCAAAAUAUUAAAUCUUAUACCCUAAAUCCUAAACUCCAAACCCUAAAUUAUAAACUUUAAAUCUUGGAUAAACCGUAAACCAUUGGAAAAUCUUAAACCCUAAAUCAUACAUUAAAAACUAAAUCUUAAUAACACUAAACCCUAAACCCUAAUCACUAAACCCUAAACCCUUGGAUAAACCCUGAACCCUUGGAUAAAUCAUAAACUCUAAAUCAAAAAUAUUUAAAAUUAAAUCCUAGAGUUUAUGAUUUAUCCAAGGGUUCAGGGUUUAUCCAAGGGUUUAGGGUUUAGUGAUUAGGGUUUAGGGUUUAGUGUUAUUAAGAUUUAGUUUUUAAUGUAUGAUUUAGGGUUUAAGAUUUUCCAACGGUUUAGAGUUUAUCCAAGAUUUAAGGUUUAACGUUUAGGGUUUAGGGUUUAGUAUUUAGGGUAUAUGGUUUAGUAUUUUGCUAAAGAUUUAACAAUAUUAAUUUAUUUAUUUUUUGUAACUAUUUUUAUGUAUUUUAUUAUUUUAUUUUAAAAAUAUAAUCUAAUUUGAAUAUUUAAUUUUAUUUCUUUUUUAAAAAAAUAUCAAAUAUCUAACACUAUUGGUUGGUGAAUCUAGAGGUUCACCCGAGGGCUGAACCAAGAAUUUCUCUUGUUAUAGGUUUGCUAGUCAUAAAGGUGUGUAGUUGAAACUUUUAUAUCGACGCAAUAAGGAUUCCAACAACAUAUUAAAAAUUAGUAUUAAUAAUUAUAUAGCGUGAUUUUUGAACUAAUUUUAUAACCGAACAAUAAACUAAAGUCAUAUGGGUGCGGUUCAACCCUAGUUCAUAUAAUACACAACUACCCAUAUAUGGUAAAUGUCAAUUUUAUAAAACCAGAAUAGUUUUUUUUGUGCAAAAAAAAAAACCAGAAUAGUAAGAGCAUGAUUAUAUAUAUAAAUAGAUUUAUGUAAUUUAGUUAAAGUUAAAAGUUAAAUCCAAAAAGUUAAUGUAAACCACUAACAAAUCAACAUGUGUCAAGGGGUAUCUAACUUUUUUUUGUUUACGUUCGCCACCGAAAACUAAGAGCAUAAUUAUUGGGGGUUCUUAGAGUGAAGUUUUUAUUUAAAUAUAAAAAUUUGUCUUUUAACUUUUAUAAUUUUUAUUUAAGAACCACUUUUUAAAUUUUUUAGUUAAAAGUUAAGAAACGGAUUUUUAUAUUCCGCCAAUACUCUCACCCUAACAACCCUAGUAACGAUGCUCCCAUACAUUCUAACAUUUUUGGACACCAUAUUUUUUAACACUUUUCAUAUUUUUAAUAUGCAGAACCUUGUCCAAAUAACCCCGAUGGGGUUGUCCUAACCAACUGAUUUUUUUUUGGAUCAUGGGUUAAUAUGAGUUGAUCAAGUUUCACUUGAUUCAAUGAGUUUAAUUAUAAAAUGAAAAUUAGAAGUAAAUAUACAUGUUUUGUUGUUUGUCUUCUACAAGUUUUAUAGGAACUUAGUUGAUUAUAGUUAUUAAAGUUUCCAAUAGAAAUAGUUUUAAAAUAAAAGUUAAAUACACCAAAUGGAGAAUAAAUAUAAAAUCAAUGAGUUAACAUUAUAGAUUUAUUUUUCACUGAAAAAAUAUAAGAUGAUAUGAUCAUUUGUAAAAUAAAAUAAAAAUUAUAAAAUGACAUUCUUUGCAAAAGUAUGACUCAAACCACUUGCUUAAUCAAGUUGUCUCUUCGUAAACUAAAAUACUUAGCGAAUGUAAAACUUUCUAUUCAUAAUAAUUACAGAUGCUCAAAAGCUUAGAACAAUAAUUUCUUCUGAUUUUUACCCAAAAAAAUAAAUUCUUCUGAUCAAAAUCAACUAUUAUGUUUCCAGGUUAUUACAUUUCCGCUCUCUCUCUCUCUUAUCCACACGGACAUAAUACAAAUUGAGGCGCUACAGUGUCAAAUUAGUGUUUACUGUUUAGAGCUAAGUGAAUCGUUCACACCAAACUAUAUGUUUUAAAGAGAAUAAACUACACAUGGCACACAGCUUUUUGAGUGAGUACACUAAAUUACACCGGGUGUAAGCUGUAGUAUCAUCCGAAGCAAUAUUUAUAUUAGAAUGUAUAGUGAGUCAAAUCAUCAAAGAUGCAAGCUGCUAAAUAGUUGGAGGAGGACAAGUAACAAAAAAACAGUUUUGCUCAAAAUAAGUAAUCAUAUAAUUUACGACUAUGUUUCUGAAGUUCUGAUAAAAAGAAAAAUAUAUUUCUCUGAAAUUCUUUUAAACAAGGAUUUUUUAUAAUUUCUGUGGAAUCCUUUGUCAUAUACAACUGUAGACUGAAAAAAAGAAAUUUACAAAGUUAGACUAUUUAAAAUUGAAAAAGAUAGAAAGAGAGAGUAAAAUGAAGAGAAGAAAGCAGUUUUUCAUGAAGAAACGUAAGAAGGAUGGUCCAAUACUCAAAACCUUACACUUGUAUUAUUGCAGGGUUCUAAGACGGAGUUGUUAGCGUAAUAUAAAAACUGUUUCUUAACUUUAACUAAGAAAAACUAAGAACCGUCUCUUAAAACUUUUAUUUAAGAACCGGUUUUUAGUUUUUCUUAGUUAAAAGUUAAGAGACGAGUUCUUAUACUACGAUAAGAACUUCACCAUAACUUUUAGUUAAAAGUUAACAGACCAUGAUUAGCUUCGGUUAAGAGACGGUUUUUAACUUUUCUUAAAUUUUAACUAAGAAAAACUAAGAACCGUCUCUUAAAUAAGAGAUAUAAGAGUCGUAUCUUAGCCGAAAAUUAUUUUAAAAAAAAUGUCAAAUCAUGAGUUAAGAACUCCGGCUAAGAGACCGGGGUUAAUCAUGCCUUUAGAACUAAGAGUUAAGAACUCCGGCUAAGAACCCAUAUUUAAGAACCGGUUUUUAGCUUUUUUAGUUAAAAGCUAAGAUACGAGUUCUUAUAUUCUGCUAAGAAUCCACUCUAAUAAUCCCCCAUUAAACAUGCUCUUUGAUGUCUGAUAAUAUAUGGUCUUUUGUUUUUUUCUCUAAUUUUAAUUAUACAAAAAAAAAAUAUAAAUAUUAAAUUGAUUAGGUACUUUGUGGAGAUACCACAAUACAUAACUCUUAUUGGAAAUGCUCUUGAAACUCAUCAUUUGGGUGUGAUGUGAAUGCGCUAUAUGUAUGAUUUAACCUCUUGGAAGAAUCAUGUUUACAUAUACCGAAUAAUUGUUCUUAUAAGAACAUAUUAACGAAAAACGAAGAGGAUAUAACAGCAUCUUUUUUUUUUUGAGCACAGGAUAUAUCAGCAUCAAGAUAUACAUUUAAGAGGAAUCCAACGGCUGAAAAUAAAUUAAAAAGACCAAAAGCUAAAAAAAGAAGGAAAUGACUCGAUAUAUAUACAUAGACAUCUCUAUCCUCACUCUGGAAAAAACCAUUCUGCUUAUAUAUUAGAGAGACUUACAUAGAGAGACACAUUAUGUCUUAUGUUUACGCUUGGAGACACAUUGUCUAGUUGACACACUUUAUGUGUACAGUUGUUUUAUUUUGGACAGAAAUGACCUUUCCUUUGAAUAAGCUGAAGAAUAUUAUUUUUAAAGAGGCAUCCGAAAGCUAACUAGAUUUAUGUUUGGUUGCAGUUAAAAUUAAAGGUUUAAACGGUUUGAAGACGUAAAAAUCAACGUACAAUUCAACAACAAUUGAGUUAGUUAGUUAUUUUAUUUAUAUUAUUAUUAUUUUUCAUUCCAUUUUAUGUUUAUUUGUUCUUUUUCCAAAGUUUAAGACAUAUAAAGCAAAAAUAAUUAAUACUAUAAAUUAUAAUUUCUUUUUCUCUACAUUUUAACAUCCAUUUUCAUAUAUAUUUUUUAUAGAUUUUAAUAAUUAUAUAAAAAUACGUGGACACGAGAAAUGUGGACAGACAAUUGUGGACAUAGAAAAAAAAAUACAUGGACACGAUAAGUGUGGACAGAAAAUUGUGGACAUAGAAGAAAAAUACGUUAACAAUGAUUAUUUUUCACUCCAUUUUAUGUUUUUUUGUUUUUUUCUCCAAAGUUUAAGACAUAUAAAGCAAAAAUAAUUACUACUAUAAAUUGUAAUUUCUUUUUCUCUACAUUUUAACAUCUAUUUUCAUAUAUAUAUUUUUUAUAUAUUUUAACAAUUAUAUAAAAAUACGUGGACACGAGAAAUGUGGACAGACAAUUGUGGACAUAGAAAAAAAACAUGGAUACGAUAAGUGUGGACAGAAAAUUGUGGACAUAGAAGAAAAAUAAGUUAACAGUUAUUAUUUUUCAUUCCAUUUUAUGUUUAUUUGUUUUUUUCAAAGUCUAAGACAUAUAAAGCAAAAAUAAUUACUACUAUAAAUUGUAAUUUCUUUUUCUCUACAUUUUACCAUCUAUUUUCAUAUAUAUUUUUUAUAUAUUUUAAUGUGGACAGAAAAUUAUGGACAUAGAAAAACAAUACAUGGACAAGAGAAGUGUGGACAUAGAAGAAAAAUAAGUUAAUAGAAAAGAUGUGGACAUAUAGAUGGAUGAAAAAACGUUAAAAAAAACUUUUAUUUUCAUUUUUUAGUUUUUUUCUGUUUGGUUAAAAGAAUUAUUUGGUAACAUAUAUAUUUAGUUUGUAAAUAGUUCAUAUUUGAAAAAUAUUUAUAGAGAGAAGGUAAGCGUGGACGGCUACAUGUGGACAUAUAAACAUGUAGGAGUACAUGCGUAUGAGUGUGGACGGGUAAUCAUGAACGGUUAUUUGUGGACAGAUAUGCAUGAACAUAUGCAUAUGGAUAAAAUAUACAUAUGGAUAGAUAGACGUGCGUGGAUCUGUACAAUGGACAAUUAUUUGGUGGUGAUUUGUGUUUGUGUGACAAAACAUAUAUGCCAAACAAAAUGUCAACCUUAUGAAUAAUGAGAUAUCAAAAGCAUAAACAGUUAGCAAUGAAGCUCUUAUCCUUUUCCUCAGCAAUGUUCCAAACACCAUCUUCAUCUAAUUCAAUUUCAGAGGUAGAUGGCUUUUCAACAGAUAACCAUAAAGGUAGGUCUUGAGACAAAGAAAUAAAAUGUUUUAAAAAAACACAGGAUAAGAGUAUUUCCGAAUGCAAGACGGAAGAGACAUAAACAGAUACCUUUGUGUACUGAUUCUUUACACGGAGUGAACCUGAGAAGAAAACUAAAUCUAUUGUAUAUAUGAUGACUUGCAUAGAAGAGAAAUUGGGACGAGAAUACACACUCAUACUCCAAUUGUUGUUCCAACUGCUUCAAAAAUUAACAAACGAAAAGGGAACAAAUCACCAUCAAUAAGAACAUGAAUAGGAAAAAGUUUGAAACUUUGUCUCAUACCAAUCAUUGCACGAUCUACGGCUAGAGUUGCAGGGUUUGUGUCUUUGCAGAUUUGCAGAGGUUCUAAGAGGAAUUGCAGCGGCUCUAAGAGAAUUAAAAGUGUGUAUGGCGCCAGUGGUUGCUCGUGGUGAAGAACAGAGCCCUCUGUCUGAGCUAAACGAGAUGAUGAUUGGUUCAAGCCUUUUGCUGGAGCUCAACGAGAGAGGGAGAGUGGUUCCGUCGGUGGGGUUUAGGGAUGUAGCUUUCCAUUAACGAUAGAUAUUGUUAUUUAAGCGGAUUAGAGAUUGUGAUUUGUGAGAAUUGGGGAAGUUAGAAUUUUAUCAGUUAAUGAUUUUGUUUUUAAAAAAAAAAAAUCUGCUUAGUUACAACAAGAAGGUAACGAGAGAGAAAAAGCUUUCAAGGGUAUAAUGGACAAACGGUAAGACAAAUGUGUGUUGCAAGUGGGAUGUGUUCUUUAGUGUAAUUAGAAAGUCAAAAUGUGUCCUCCAAUGUAAAUUUCUCUAUAUAUUAAGUGAGAACGUGAAAGAGCCUCACAGAAAAUAAUUGGAAGUCCUCUUAGUAAAACACUAAAACCAUAUCUACAAAAAUAAACAGUUACAGUAACCAAUAAUGCGCUUUGUUCUCGAGCUCAUCAUCAUCUGACUACACGUUGAUUGGUUUAUGGGAAAUGCUCGAAUCUACCAGCGAGAUCUGACUGGUUAAAAUGGGGAGGACGACAUGGUUUGACGAUGACGGGAUAAAGAAAGGGGAGUGGAUGGCGGAGGAAGACCGGAUGCUCGUCGCUUACAUCAAAGAACAUGGUCUUGGAGACUGGCGUACCCUGCCUAAGAGAGCCGGUAAAAAUCUAUACUUACACUCUAUAUUACUAUAUAUAUGCAUUAUGCAUACAUUGUGCACGGUCAACUUGUGUUUGUGUCUCUUUCAAACUUAGGAUCUUUAGAUUCCAGUUUCUGUCGGACCGAAAAUCUUGUUUUGAUUACUAUUAUUUUUAUUUUUUUGGUUUAAAUUUUUCUAAAUCAUGUACAGCUCUAUUAUCUGAAGAGAUUUACUAACAAAAAUUCAUAUAUACAGAUUCUAAAAGUUUUUUCCGGUUUUUGGGAGCAUAUUGUUGGACCAUUGUAAAUAAACAUGUGUGUAAACUGCAAACCAUUAGAGUAUUAUCUUGUUAAUGAGAUUUAUCCGAUUAUUAUACUGUAGUAGAACCUUCGACCAGCACUUCUAUGAUAUGAAGAUAUCUAUAAUAGAAUAUAUGAACACAUGUAUUUUCCUGAUUACUUUUUAAUUACGAUUUCUUAUUUUAUUCAGUUUUCUAAAGUGUUAAACCUAUGGUUACUGCAAAAUAUUUCUUGUUUAACUUUAGACCCAAAAUCAGAAAGUUUAUGUGAUUGUAUUUUCUCCUAUUUUUGUCUGAUGGAAAGGAAAUAGAUUUUGACUGAUCAAAACUUUUUUUUUUAAAUUGUGUGAUGGAGAAAAGGUUCACAUAAGGUCCAAUCCUUUUUUUUUCUUUGUUCAGAUAAGGUCCAAUCAUUUCUGUUUGCCACUAUAUUAAAGUAAUAAUUUCACAUUAUUUUUUAAUGUAAUUUUUUCUUAUAAAUGCACAAAAGGUCUGCAAAGAUGUGGAAAGAGUUGUAGAUUAAGGUGGCUGAAUUAUUUGAGGCCUGGAAUUAAAAGAGGCAAGUUCACUCCUCAGGAGGAAGAAGAUAUCAUCAAAUUUCAUUCUCUUCUUGGAAACAGGUAAUUUAAUGUGUGAUUAAAUCCAAACCAACCAAACUACCUUGUCUUUUAGUUUUUUUUUAAAAAACAAGAAUUGUGUCUAAUUCUAAGUAGUUUUACUUAAAAACACAAAUAUUUAGGAAGCUCUGAUUUAAAAAAAAAAUAUAUCAUUUAAUCAAUUAAUUCAACCAAUUAUAAAAAAUCUAACAUUAUUUCAUUGGUCACACAGUAUCCAAUAAAUAAAAAGAUGCAUUGAAAAAUAUAAAUUACAAACGAACUAUUUUUGGUAGAACUAGUUACAUUUGGAAAAUAUAGAUACAUUAUUAAAGUAAUGAUUAUGCAUAAUUACAACAGGUGGGCCGCAAUAGCAAAGCAAAUGCCAAACCGAACAGACAAUGACAUUAAAAAUCAUUGGAACUCAUGUCUAAAGAAAAGACUCGUUAGAAGCGGGAUCGAUCCCAUGACCCAUAAGCCUACCGUCAACGUUGCAAAAGCCACUUCCUCCUCAACGACGUCGUCUACAGCACCGACCCCUUCUUCGUCCUCUGCUACUUCUUCCUCUUUUUCCUCCACAGGCUCUGCACGUCUACUUAACAAGCUUGCUGCUGGAAUCUCGUCGAGAAAACAUGCACUCGAUAGGAUCAAGAACGUCAUCAUGUCGGAACCAAGACAAGCCGUUGAAGAAGACGAGAUGAUGAUAGGCAGCAAGGAAGAUGAGGAAGUGACUGGUUGUUCCAUAGAGAUCGAUGAGAAUCUGAUCAGUCCGACGUCGUUUGAUGAGUUUUUAACGUGUGACUUCACUCCUACCUAUACAACUGGCUUCGUGGAUGCUUUUGGUGGCUACUCAUUAGUCGAGCCAUACGAUCUAUACCAAUCUGAUUUCUAUCAUGAGACUAGUGAUGAUCAACUUGACCUGUUCCUCCUUUGAAAUUCACUCUCUUGGACACGUUU